AGUCGUGUCGUUCAACUGGAAAGGACAUCAGUCUACGAAACUGAAAAUCGGGGUUCAAAUCCCUGCAUGGCUA
Molecule: transfer RNA, 73 nt
Filed under: Haliscomenobacter hydrossis DSM 1100
Lineage: Bacteria; Pseudomonadati; Bacteroidota; Saprospiria; Saprospirales; Haliscomenobacteraceae
Also listed under: 1 other name
Description: tRNA-Arg (ACG) (tRNA-Arg-ACG-2-1)
Rfam family: tRNA
About the family: Transfer RNA (tRNA) molecules are approximately 80 nucleotides in length. Their secondary structure includes four short double-helical elements and three loops (D, anti-codon, and T loops).
Source: Rfam by way of RNAcentral